This 209-nucleotide long non-coding RNA is filed under the name Carica papaya (papaya). RNAcentral describes it as "long non-coding RNA (CPAP_LNC010001)". Lineage: Eukaryota; Viridiplantae; Streptophyta; Magnoliopsida; Brassicales; Caricaceae. The record is from RNAcentral.
UCUGGUUCAUGAUCUCGAUCACCUUCGAGAAAUACUCGUUUAUUUUUUCAGACUCCUUCAUUUGUAAAUUUUGAAAUUAUACGUGUAAGGUCUGCAACUUCACAACAAUCACCUUUGUGGAUCCCUUAAACUCUUCUUGCAAUAUAUUGCAUGCUUAUUUUGAUCUAGUUGCACCAAUUAUCUGAGAGAACAAACUUUCUGUAACACCC